Molecule: ribosomal RNA, 253 nt
Filed under: uncultured bacterium
Lineage: Bacteria
Description: partial 16S ribosomal RNA
Rfam family: Bacterial small subunit ribosomal RNA
Source: RNAcentral
UACGUAGGGGGCAAGCGUUAUCCGGAUUUACUGGGUGUAAAGGGAGCGUAGACGGCAGCGCAAGUCUGGAGUGAAAUGCCGGGGCCCAACCCCGGAACUGCUUUGGAAACUGUGCAGCUGGAGUGCAGGAGAGGUAAGCGGAAUUCCUAGUGUAGCGGUGAAAUGCGUAGAUAUUAGGAGGAACACCAGUGGCGAAGGCGGCUUACUGGACUGUAACUGACGUUGAGGCUCGAAAGCGUGGGGAGCAAACAGG